AUGGUUGCCCUUUUGGCACAGAUUGUGUGUUUACAGUAUAUAUAUAUAUAUAUAUAUAUAUAUAUAUAUAUAUAUAUAUAUAUAUAUAUAUAUAUACUGUAAACACACAAUCUGUGCCAAAAGGGCAACCAU
Non-coding RNA from Trichuris muris, 132 nucleotides. The record is from Rfam. Lineage: Eukaryota; Metazoa; Nematoda; Enoplea; Trichinellida; Trichuridae.